AACUCAUUAUUACGAGGUUGUGUUUAAGGAAUCCUGUGAGAUUCAGGGGCUGUGCCGCAACCGUUAGAGCCGGAAAACUAGCAAUCUCUAAUUAAUCCCG
RNAcentral lists this non-coding RNA (100 nucleotides) under Candidatus Woeseibacteriota. The record is from RNAcentral.